GAUGAACGCUGGCGGCGUGCCUAAUACAUGCAAGUCGAGCGAACAGACGAGGAUCUUGCUCCUCUGACGUUAGCGGCGGACGGGUGAGUAACACGUGUAUAACCUACCUAUAAGACUGGUAUAAUUUCGGGAAACCGGCGCUAAUACCAUAUAAUAUAUUGAACCACAUUGGUCAAUAGUGAAAUACGGUUGUUCUGUCACUUAUAGAUGGAUCCGCGCCGCAUUAUCGAGUUGUUAAGUUAACAGCUUUCCAAGGCAACGAUGCGUAACCGACCUGAGAGGGUGAUAGGCCACACUGGAACGGAGACACGGACAAGACUACUACGGGAGGCAGCAGUAGGGAAUGUUCCGCAAUGGGGGAAAGCAUGACGGAGUAACGCGGAGUGAGUGAUGAAGGUCUCAGGAUCGUAAAACUCUGUUAUUAGGGAAGAACAAAUGUGUAAGUAAAUAUGCACGUAUUGACGGUACCUAAUCAGAAAGCAACGGCUAACUACGUG
RNAcentral lists this ribosomal RNA (497 nucleotides) under uncultured bacterium. RNAcentral describes it as "partial 16S ribosomal RNA". It matches the Rfam family "Bacterial small subunit ribosomal RNA", at positions 28 to 507 of the family's 1533-position model. The record is from RNAcentral.